Dunckerocampus dactyliophorus (ringed pipefish) is the source of this 3664-nucleotide RNA transcript. It is a transcript of the gene named coenzyme Q5, methyltransferase, with no coding region annotated. The record is from RefSeq and is a predicted model, not a curated record. The transcript has 8 exons. NCBI's taxonomy places the organism in Eukaryota, Metazoa, Chordata, Actinopteri, Syngnathiformes, Syngnathidae.
GCGUAACGUUGGUCAAGAUGGCGGCCUCCAUGAGAAUGCUACUUCGGAGAGUUGUCCGUCUGACUCACGGAGAGGUCUCCGUCCCCUCCGCCGGUGUUUCCCGUCUGCCAGGUCGAUGUUGGACGCCACCGUCCUGUCGUCGUUUCAGCGAAGCAACCGGAGAGAAAAGCACUCAUUUCGGUUUUGAGACUAUCCCGGAAGCUGAGAAGGCGAAGAAAGUGUAUAAGGUGUUUGAGAACGUGGCCCACAAGUAUGACGUCAUGAAUGACGCCAUGAGUCUGGGGAUUCAUCGCCUGUGGAAAGACGCGCUGCUGCACGCCAUGCACCCCCAGCCGGGCACGCGCCUGCUGGAUGUGGCCGGCGGGACAGGCGACAUCGCCUUUCGUUUCCUGGACUACGUCCGCUCUCAGAAGGAGCGUCAGAAGAGGCGGAUGGCGCGCUCCUUGCAGAUGCCGUCGUGGCGGGACAUCUCGGACGACUACUCCGCUAUAGACGACAGGGAGGGGGAGGAAGCAGCAGCAGGAGGGUCCUGGGACAGCAGGGCGGUAGUCUGCGACAUAAACAAGGAGAUGCUGAAAGUGGGCAAGGAGAAAGCUGACAACUUGGGCGUCGGCACUGGUCUGUCGUGGGUGGUGGGGGACGCAGAGGAGCUGCCGUUCGACGACAACCAGUUUGACGUUUACACCAUCGCCUUUGGCAUUCGUAACGUCACCCACGUAGAGCAGGCCCUGCAGGAGGCGCUGCGGGUCCUGAAGCCAGGUGGUCGCUUCAUGUGCCUGGAGUUCAGCAAAGUGACAAAUCCUGUGCUGGCUUGGCUUUAUGAUGCUUACAGCUUCCAGGUCAUCCCAGUUUUGGGAGAAGUGAUUGCUGGAGACUGGAAGUCCUACCAGUAUUUAGUGGAAAGCAUCCGCAAGUUUCCUGGCCAGGACGAGUUUACACAAAUGAUGGAGGAGGCGGGCUUCUACUGCGUGCGCUACAAGAACCUGACUGGAGGAGUGGUCUCGCUUCACUCUGGUUUCAAGCUGUGACGACACGGACCGGCGGACUCUUUGGCUGCAUGAGGCCUCAGCUCCUCACCUUCUGCUGACUGGACAGUAUUUAUCUGUGGGGGCAGGUGUGAUGCUGGAGCAGCCAAGGGUCCACGCAUUUCUUGUGGAACCUGUGAGCACAGGGGAUGACCCGCAACUCCUGCAGCGGGAACACAAAACCAAGACCAUCACAACUCCAGGCUUCUUUCCUGCUUUCCAUGUAUUGUCCACAAGGUGGCAGCAAAUCCUUUCACUUCUUUGCCUUCAACUAAACUGCGGCCACUUCCGGUAUGUAGCGAGGCUCUGUUGUGUGUUUUGACCCCCGACUGAGAGGAGUCCUCUUAAUGAGGGCCAGCCGUGAGCGGAAGAUGACAAUAAGCCGCUUUGGGGCCUGCUGGGGAAACAGGAAGCGUGUGACGACAUCCCAGACAGGCUGAGCUAGGACGGCGUUAUCUGGCCAGGUGCGCCAGGGAAGAUGGCGGGCCUGCCAACGUCUCCGUGCACGUGAGGGGAAAUUCCACUCUACUGUUGCUGCUUCACGCUGGGAUUGCUUUGCCCGCCAGUGGCCACUUGAGCAGACAUCACAUUCGUCCAUUACGUCCACUCAAUACAAGAAAUAAGCCCUUUUUUAGAGAAACACGUCCCAACAAGAUCAAUAAUCACACUGGCAUAAAAAUAUUAACAAAGUUGUUUUAUUGACUAGAAAAAAGUAUCAUUUUUCCAAAAAAGUUCUAAUUUUACCAGAAUAACGUAUUUAUUGAUUUACAGUAUCUACCUGGAAAAAACUGUUUUCAACAGAAAGCAAUUAAAAAGUCGUAUUGGGGGGGAUUUUAUGAGAAAACAAGUUGUAUUCUUUUGGAAAAUAUUACAUUUGUAUUUUUUUUCUAACAAAAACAUCCUAUUUUUCAAGGCUAUUUUUGACAGAAAAAAGGCUUGUUCUUGUUUUAUUCUAACUUUUUUUUCUUGCGAUAAAUCAAUAAAUACUUUAUUCUGGUAAAAUCAGGACUUUUGGGAAAAAAAGAUCUUUUUUUCUUGUGAUAUGGAUUGAUUGUAUGAUCACAUGACGUUGGUGAGAUGAGAGGAAACAUUUGAGAUGAUAAGAAGUGGAACAACUUUAGUCUCGUUAUUCUGCUGCAAUCAGGACUUUCUUGUCAAAAAAGCAGCUUCCUUCAUUUUUUAUGAAGGGAUUAUUUUUCUUGUUAUAUUAUGACUUUUUCUUUUUUUCAAAAUGCAACUUUAUUCUGGUCAGAUUUGGACUUUUUCUUUAAAAAAAUGACACCUUUUUUUCUUGACAAAUUGUAACAUUUCUCAUCAAAAUACCAUUUGUUCUCUAUAAUAUUGAUAAAAUAAAAAUAAGAAAUAAAACCCAACAUUAUUCUCUUCUCACUAUUUUUUUCUAACAAAAACUUAAUUUUCAACACAAUUUGUUUGUUUUGGAGGAAAGAAAGGCUUAUUUUUUCUUUAGAUAAAUCACUAAAUACAACUUUACCAUUUUUUUCUGCAGAAUUAUACUUUUUUUCUUGUAAUAUUAUGACUUUCUUGUUUUUUUCCACAUUAUGCUGGUCAGAUUAGGACUUUUUUUUUUCUCAGAAAAAUAAUAAUAGUUCUAAAAAUAAUAAUAAUAUUUAUAUAUAACCCAAAUGUAUUCUCAUCUCACCAUUAAAAAGUCAACAAAAACAUCCUAUUUUUCAAGACAAUUUGUUAUGUUUUGGAGGAGAAAAAAAGGCUUAUUGUUCCUGUUUUAUUUUAGCUUUUUUUCUUUAGAUAAAUCAAUAAAUAAAACUUUUUUUCUGGUAAAACUGGGACUUUUUAAAAUUGAAACACCACACCGAUUUUCUUGAAAAAUUAGGACUUUUCUUCUGGAGUUUUUUUUCUUGUAAUAUUAUGACUUUUUUUUAAACUAUUAAUUUUUGAUGAUAUCAUCAUUUGUCUUAUGAUAAUAUGACUUUUUUCUUAUUCUGGUCAGAUUAAAAAACAUUUUUUUCCUGAAAAAUUGAUCAAAUAAAAAGUCAUUUUUUCUAACAACAACAAUCUUUUUCAAGACAAUUAGCGAUGUUUUGGAGGAAGUCUUAUUUUGUAGUGCCCGCUGGAUCUGCUACGUGGCUUUUCCUGCUAACACGGAAGGUAUUUUCCUUGAAGAACGCGCCUUUAUUCCAUGUUUGGAGGUUUUGUGUAGAAAAGGCGUAUUUUGCGUACCUCGCCAUCCAUGUACUUUUCCAGACAGAUGGCGCAGUCCGACGUGGAGCUGCUGCUCAGCGAGUCGGCCGCCACGCAGCCGCUCUCGCGUUGGCCUUUCCCUUUGGCCUUGAACUUGUGCGUCUCCAUCUUCUCCAGCGCCUGCACCGCCAUCCUGUUCAUGGAGCUCUGGGGGGGGGGGGACACAAAGCAACAAUAAGAAAAGAUUUACCGCCCAACUAAACGAGUCCUUCUUCUUUAUGUGAGCAAAUUAAAAACACAAAAUGUUCGGGGGAAAAAAGUUACACGUUAGAAGAAGAAUCUUCCCUCCGCAUCUUUUUAUCAAAAUAAAUCAACAAUAAAAGUAAAAGAAGAAGAAGUAAAAGCGUCUUCAUCACAAGAUGACUCCGAUGUUGCUGGAAAAAAAAUUUCUUCUGGUGAAAUUUGCAUUCUUUUCUCAA